Podarcis lilfordi (Lilford's wall lizard) is the source of this 2439-nucleotide non-coding RNA. Lineage: Eukaryota; Metazoa; Chordata; Lepidosauria; Squamata; Lacertidae. The record is from the annotation of a GenBank genome assembly.
GCAUAGUCUUAACAGUGAGUCCGUAAGUGACUGUGGAGGCCAGUUCUAGAUCCACACGUCCUUCUACAGUGAGGACAUAGGUUUCCGGACGGGAGUUGAUCAUGGUGACGGUUUGCCAAACAUGCCUUCCUCUUAGCAUGUUUCUCCCUAUUAUCCUGAGCUUGAGCGUCUUCAAAGUCUACAACGUCUUUGGCAAAGGCUGUUCUCCAAUUGGAACAUUCGCAGGCCAGUGUUUCCCAAUUAUAGGUGUUUAUACCUGUACUACAUUUUUUAAGAUUGAGAGAGUCUUUAAACCUCUGUUGUUGACCACCAGCAUUAUGCUUUCCAUUUUUAAGUUAGGAAGAGUAGUCGCUUUGGCAGACACUAAUCAGGCAUCAUGACCAGUCCAGUGAAGUUGAUGUUUAAGAAUCAUUGCUUUGACACUGGUGAUCUUUGCUUCUUUCAGAGUACACCGGUGUUAGUUCACCUAUCUUCCCAAGUGACGUGUAAAAUUUUUCGGAGACACCGUUGAUGGAAUCUUUCGAGGAAUUGGAAAUGGCAUUUAUAAGUGGUACAUGUUUCACAAGCAUACAGUAAGGUUGGUAGUACAAUAGCUUUGUAAACAAGCAUUUUGGUUUCCAUGCGAACGUCCUUGUCCUCACUCUGCACUUCAAUUGGGAGAAAGCUGCAUUCGCUGAGUGGCAUUGGUGUCGGCCCUUGUGGAAGACGCCUGUGUGUGAAUUUGUUUUGUGUGUGUAGAUCAGUGCACACUGACCAACACAUAGCAUUUGCAGCAUAAUCCUACAACUAUGCAUAUAUCUUCUCACACUUCAGCUAAGCCCUCUGUAGUGUUGGUGACAUUUAGUAUAAAAACUCCUAAGCACGACAUCUGCUGGUCAAACGGAAAAAAUUCAGCAAAGGAGUCGUCAUAUCAGAUGAAGAACCAGGAACUUGUUUUCUGGCAGGUCAAAAAUAGCGACAGCUGUUUAAGUAGUGGGCCACAGGAAAUCAUUCUACCUCCAUUAUUUUCAUACCUAAAUAUGGGUCAACGGGAUUACACAGGAAAACAUUUCCCUGGACUUAUGAAAGAGGCUAUGCCACAUUCUCCUGUUCCCGCCUUUGGGAUUAUGCCCAACUCAUUCACUGAGCUCAAGAAAUGCUCAGUCUCAACAACUUAAUCCGCUGUGUGUGUCAUUUAAUUGGUGUAAAAGAUUGCAGCUGAGGAUCAAGCAUCCAAGUUCCAUCCUUAUAAGUAAGGCAAACAAGCUCUGCUCUUUAAUUAUAGGUAAAAAGGAUUCCUUAUAACCCCAUCUACAGUAUGCAUAUAAAGCAGAAAUCAUACCGCUUUAAAUAGGCCUGACUUUCCCCAAUGUAUCCUGGGAGUUGUAGUUUGUUAAGGGUGCAAAGUGUUGUUAGGUGAACCCUAUUCCCCUCCUAAAGCUACAAUUUCCAGAUUUCUUGGGAGGGGUUGAUUGUCAAACCACUCUAGAAACUUCAGCUUUGCGAGGGAAUGGGCGUCUCCUAACAACUCUCAGCACCUUUAACAAACUAGAACUCCCAGGAUUCUUUGGGAAAAGCCAUGCUUGUUUAAAGUGGCAUGAUAGUGCUUUAAAUGUAUUGUGCAAAUGCGUCCUUUGUUUAUUUGAAUUUGCAUACUUCCUUCCUCUGCAGAGUUUAAACCAGUGGCUUACAAUGUAAUCCUAUACAUGCCUACUCAAAAGUAAGUCCGAUUGAGUUUGGGGGUGGGGGGCUUACUCCUCAAUAUGGGUAUAGGACUGCAGCCUUAUAAUGUUGUAAAGCAGAUUCGUCAGAGCGCACAACCCAUCAAAGCUAUCUGCUGAACGUCAUAGCGGGUCUGGCCUUUUAACUGGGAUUUUCCACGUCCAUAACUCACAUUCAAACUAUACUUCCCUAGCUGUGGUUGUUCAGUGGUAAAGGAAAUCCACUAUUUUAAGAGAGUGCCUCUUGCUGCUCUGCAAGAGCCGCUGACGACAGUACUAAUGCAGGCAUAUUGUAGAAGGUACCAGAAAACCGUGGCAAGAGCUGAAAGGGUGAACUCUACCUGAAAUAUGCAUGGGAGCUCACUACAGUAUUCUGUUUUGGAAGGCUAUCCAAUGAAUCUGGCUGCAUUAAGUGUCUCCUGGGGAUGAAACAGCUUUUUAACGAUCUCUGGAAAAAUCCAAGCAGUGAAUGUCAGAUUGUCCUUGUCAGGAAAUAUCUUGGCCAGUUCAUCAAUGCAUCUCAUCUCACAGGUUUGGAGCUAAGCCUUGAUUGAACAUAACAUAUCUGCCAGCUAAGGUGAGAUCAGUCCACGUGUCUAUGUAGCUGUGUAUGGCCCUGGACCAAUUGUUUUCAUUUAUGAAUAGUCUAUCUUGCCUUCCCAUAUGUUUGAAGUGAUGUGUGUGUGUGUGUGUGUAAAUUAGCAUCCCAAUGGUGGGAAUGUUGGAAUAAGCAUGGGGG